GUGUCAGCCGCCGCGGUAAAACGUAGGUGGCGAGCGUUAUCCGGAUUCACUGGGCGUAAAGCGCCUGCAGGCGGCCUGGCAAGUGGGACGUGAAAUCUCCCGGCUCAACUGGGAGGGGUCGUUCCAUACUGCUAGGCUGGAGGGCAGAAGAGGAAAGUGGAAUUCCCGGUGUAGUGGUGAAAUGCGUAGAGAUCGGGAGGAACACCAGUGGCGAAGGCGACUUUCUGGUCUGCCCCUGACGCUAAGAGGCGAAAGCUAGGGGAGCGAACGGGAUUAGAAACCCCUGUAGUCC
RNAcentral lists this ribosomal RNA (292 nucleotides) under uncultured bacterium. RNAcentral describes it as "partial 16S ribosomal RNA". It matches the Rfam family "Bacterial small subunit ribosomal RNA", at positions 505 to 796 of the family's 1533-position model. The record is from RNAcentral.